RNAcentral lists this ribosomal RNA (252 nucleotides) under uncultured Carnobacteriaceae bacterium. RNAcentral describes it as "partial 16S ribosomal RNA". It matches the Rfam family "Bacterial small subunit ribosomal RNA", at positions 550 to 802 of the family's 1533-position model. Lineage: Bacteria; Bacillati; Bacillota; Bacilli; Lactobacillales; Carnobacteriaceae. The record is from RNAcentral.
UUUAUUGGGCGUAAAGCGAGCGCAGGCGGUUCUUUAAGUCUGAUGUGAAAGCCCCCGGCUCAACCGGGGAGGGUCAUUGGAACUGGAGAACUUGAGUGCAGAAGAGGAGAGUGGAGUUCCACGUGUAGCGGUGAAAUGCGUAGAUAUGUGGAGGAACACCAGUGGCGAAGGCGACUCUCUGGUCUGUAACUGACGCUGAGGCUCGAAAGCGUGGGGAGCAAACAGGAUUAGAUACCCUGGUAGUCAAGGGCG